GCCCCCAGUCCCCUCAAUCAGUCUUUCUCACCUACUGCGGUUGGAGGAGAAGUGGACAUCAGAACAUGUGGACGAUUUCGCCAUAAGAUACCCAUUUAUUUUGACAAGAAUCUAAGAUCAAUCCUUGCUGUGCUGGAAAAUCGGGUAAUGUGAACUGCCAUUGUAGGACUGAUCACCGCUUCCAUUAAACCCCUGGAUCUUCAGAUCUGUAAUCUAGUUUGAGGUCAAAUUUAUGUACAUCUAAUGACUACGUAUGUACUCUACAGUUGCUAACCAGAUGCGUUUUGUCUGCGGUACUAUCGAGCUGGUUCAAAAUUGUACAAAAUGUUGCUUUUGGUUCAAAGUGUUCAAUAAAUGCAGUGAAUGGUGA
This is a long non-coding RNA of Oncorhynchus masou masou (cherry salmon), 370 nucleotides long. RefSeq lists it as uncharacterized. The transcript has 3 exons. The record is from RefSeq and is a predicted model, not a curated record. Lineage: Eukaryota; Metazoa; Chordata; Actinopteri; Salmoniformes; Salmonidae.